This 495-nucleotide ribosomal RNA is filed under the name uncultured bacterium. RNAcentral's name for it is "partial 16S ribosomal RNA". It matches the Rfam family "Bacterial small subunit ribosomal RNA", at positions 28 to 507 of the family's 1533-position model. The record is from RNAcentral.
GACGAACGCUGGCGGCGUGCCUAAUACAUGCAAGUCGAACGCUGAAGGAGGAGCUUGCUUCUCUGGAUGAGUUGCGAACGGGUGAGUAACGCGUAGGUAACCUGCCUGGUAGCGGGGGAUAACUAUUGGAAACGAUAGCUAAUACCGCAUAAUAGUAGAUGCUGCAUGACAUUUGCUUAAAAGGUGCAAUUGCAUCACUACCAGAUGGACCUGCGUGGUAUUAGCUAGUUGGUGGGGUAACGGCUCACCAAGGCGACGAUACAUAGCCGACCUGAGAGGGUGAUCGGCCACACUGGGACGGAGACACGGCACAGAGUCCUACAGGAGGCAGCAGUAGGGCAACGUCGGCAAUGGGCGGAAGACUGACCGAGAAACGCCGAGGGAGGGAAGAAGGACGUCGGAUCGUAGAGGUCGGUUGUAAGAGAAGAACGAGUGUGAGAGUGGAAAGUUCACACUGUGACGGUAUCUUAACAGAAAGGGACGGCUAACUACGUG